RNAcentral lists this transfer RNA (74 nucleotides) under Mogibacterium diversum. RNAcentral's name for it is "tRNA-Cys". It matches the Rfam family "tRNA". From Rfam's summary of the family: Transfer RNA (tRNA) molecules are approximately 80 nucleotides in length. Lineage: Bacteria; Bacillati; Bacillota; Clostridia; Peptostreptococcales; Anaerovoracaceae. The record is from RNAcentral.
GGCGGUAUAGCCAAGUGGUAAGGCAGAGGUCUGCAAAACCUUUAUCCCCAGUUCGAAUCUGGGUGUCGCCUCCA